UUAAGCGACUAAGCGUACACGGUGGAUGCCCUGGCAGUCAGAGGCGAUGAAGGACGUGCUAAUCUGCGAUAAGCGUCGGUAAGGUGAUAUGAACCGUUAUAACCGGCGAUUUCCGAAUGGGGAAACCCAGUGUGUUUCGACACACUAUCAUUAACUGAAUCCAUAGGUUAAUGAGGCGAACCGGGGGAACUGAAACAUCUAAGUACCCCGAGGAAAAGAAAUCAACCGAGAUUCCCCCAGUAGCGGCGAGCGAACGGGGAGGAGCCCAGAGCCUGAAUCAGUGUGUGUGUUAGUGGAAGCGUCUGGAAAGGCGCGCGAUACAGGGUGACAGCCCCGUACACAAAAAUGCACAUGCUGUGAGCUCGAUGAGUAGGGCGGGACACGUGGUAUCCUGUCUGAAUAUGGGGGGACCAUCCUCCAAGGCUAAAUACUCCUGACUGACCGAUAGUGAACCAGUACCGUGAGGGAAAGGCGAAAAGAACCCCGGCGAGGGGAGUGAAAAAGAACCUGAAACCGUGUACGUACAAGCAGUGGGAGCAUGCUUAGGCGUGUGACUGCGUACCUUUUGUAUAAUGGGUCAGCGACUUAUAUUCUGUAGCAAGGUUAACCGAAUAGGGGAGCCGAAGGGAAACCGAGUCUUAACUGGGCGUUAAGUUGCAGGGUAUAGACCCGAAACCCGGUGAUCUAGCCAUGGGCAGGUUGAAGGUUGGGUAACACUAACUGGAGGACCGAACCGACUAAUGUUGAAAAAUUAGCGGAUGACUUGUGGCUGGGGGUGAAAGGCCAAUCAAACCGGGAGAUAGCUGGUUCUCCCCGAAAGCUAUUUAGGUAGCGCCUCGUGAACUCAUCUCCGGGGGUAGAGCACUGUUUCGGCAAGGGGGUCAUCCCGACUUACCAACCCGAUGCAAACUGCGAAUACCGGAGAAUGUUAUCACGGGAGACACACGGCGGGUGCUAACGUCCGUCGUGAAGAGGGAAACAACCCAGACCGCCAGCUAAGGUCCCAAAGUCAUGGUUAAGUGGGAAACGAUGUGGGAAGGCCCAGACAGCCAGGAUGUUGGCUUAGAAGCAGCCAUCAUUUAAAGAAAGCGUAAUAGCUCACUGGUCGAGUCGGCCUGCGCGGAAGAUGUAACGGGGCUAAACCAUGCACCGAAGCUGCGGCAGCGACGCUUAUGCGUUGUUGGGUAGGGGAGCGUUCUGUAAGCCUGUGAAGGUGUACUGUGAGGUAUGCUGGAGGUAUCAGAAGUGCGAAUGCUGACAUAAGUAACGAUAAAGCGGGUGAAAAGCCCGCUCGCCGGAAGACCAAGGGUUCCUGUCCAACGUUAAUCGGGGCAGGGUGAGUCGACCCCUAAGGCGAGGCCGAAAGGCGUAGUCGAUGGGAAACAGGUUAAUAUUCCUGUACUUGGUGUUACUGCGAAGGGGGGACGGAGAAGGCUAUGUUGGCCGGGCGACGGUUGUCCCGGUUUAAGCGUGUAGGCUGGUUUUCCAGGCAAAUCCGGAAAAUCAAGGCUGAGGCGUGAUGACGAGGCACUACGGUGCUGAAGCAACAAAUGCCCUGCUUCCAGGAAAAGCCUCUAAGCAUCAGGUAACAUCAAAUCGUACCCCAAACCGACACAGGUGGUCAGGUAGAGAAUACCAAGGCGCUUGAGAGAACUCGGGUGAAGGAACUAGGCAAAAUGGUGCCGUAACUUCGGGAGAAGGCACGCUGAUAUGUAGGUGAAGCGACUUGCUCGUGGAGCUGAAAUCAGUCGAAGAUACCAGCUGGCUGCAACUGUUUAUUAAAAACACAGCACUGUGCAAACACGAAAGUGGACGUAUACGGUGUGACGCCUGCCCGGUGCCGGAAGGUUAAUUGAUGGGGUUAGCGCAAGCGAAGCUCUUGAUCGAAGCCCCGGUAAACGGCGGCCGUAACUAUAACGGUCCUAAGGUAGCGAAAUUCCUUGUCGGGUAAGUUCCGACCUGCACGAAUGGCGUAAUGAUGGCCAGGCUGUCUCCACCCGAGACUCAGUGAAAUUGAACUCGCUGUGAAGAUGCAGUGUACCCGCGGCAAGACGGAAAGACCCCGUGAACCUUUACUAUAGCUUGACACUGAACAUUGAGCCUUGAUGUGUAGGAUAGGUGGGAGGCUUUGAAGUGUGGACGCCAGUCUGCAUGGAGCCGACCUUGAAAUACCACCCUUUAAUGUUUGAUGUUCUAACGUUGACCCGUAAUCCGGGUUGCGGACAGUGUCUGGUGGGUAGUUUGACUGGGGCGGUCUCCUCCUAAAGAGUAACGG
RNAcentral lists this ribosomal RNA (2275 nucleotides) under Escherichia coli str. K-12 substr. MG1655. Its description in RNAcentral is "bacterial LSU rRNA". It matches the Rfam family "Bacterial large subunit ribosomal RNA", at positions 1 to 2303 of the family's 2925-position model. Lineage: Bacteria; Pseudomonadati; Pseudomonadota; Gammaproteobacteria; Enterobacterales; Enterobacteriaceae. The record is from RNAcentral.